RNAcentral lists this small RNA (62 nucleotides) under Enterobacter cloacae. RNAcentral's name for it is "isrK". RNAcentral also lists the same sequence under 2 other names. The record is from RNAcentral. Lineage: Bacteria; Pseudomonadati; Pseudomonadota; Gammaproteobacteria; Enterobacterales; Enterobacteriaceae.
ACUGCGGCAAAAUCCGCAGUCAGGCGUGGAAACCUGAACUAUCACACGACGACACAGUUUUA